Molecule: non-coding RNA, 82 nt
Organism: Podarcis lilfordi (Lilford's wall lizard)
Lineage: Eukaryota; Metazoa; Chordata; Lepidosauria; Squamata; Lacertidae
Source: the annotation of a GenBank genome assembly
GGUAAUAACCCAGCUCAAUCGGUAGGGCAUGAGACUCUUAAUCUCAGGGUUGUGGGUUCGAAUAGAUGACCCUUGUGGUCCU